UGGUGAGUGGCGGACGGGUGAGUAACACGUGGGUAACCUGCCCAGAAGUGGGGGAUAACAUUUGGAAACAAGUGCUAAUACCGCAUAACAACAUUUAUCUCAUGAUUUUUGUUUAAAAGAUGGUUCUGCUAUCUCUUCUGGAUGGACCCGCGGCGUAUUAGCUAGUUGGUGAGGUAAUAGCUCACCAAGGCGAUGAUACGUAGCCGACCUGAGAGGGUAAUCGGCCACAUUGGGACUGAGACACGGCCCAAACUCCUACGGGAGGCAGCAGUAGGGAAUCUUCCACAAUGGACGAAAGUCUGAUGGAGCAACGCCGCGUGAGUGAAGAAGGUUUUCGGAUCGUAAAACUCUGUUGUUGAAGAAGAACAUAUGUGAGAGUAACUGUUCACGUACUGACGGUAUUCAACCAGAAAGCCACGGCUAACUACGUGCCAGCAGCCGCGGUAAUACGUAGGUGGCAA
RNAcentral lists this ribosomal RNA (461 nucleotides) under Companilactobacillus paralimentarius. Its description in RNAcentral is "bacterial SSU rRNA". It matches the Rfam family "Bacterial small subunit ribosomal RNA", at positions 89 to 537 of the family's 1533-position model. The record is from RNAcentral. Lineage: Bacteria; Bacillati; Bacillota; Bacilli; Lactobacillales; Lactobacillaceae.